AAGGUGGUUGCCCCGUUAUUAAGGGGAACAAAUGGUCCUCUACGAAAUGGAUUCACGUCGAUGAGUAUAAGGUUUAGAUUUUCUUCAAAAGGUUCAAAUGUGUUAUCAUUUAGUUAUAACAGUUAAUGUUCGAGCAUGACACGAGACCGUUUGGUGGAUCAUAUUCUCAUCCUUCACAAUACUAUAAUAUUUUAUGUAAUUUCUUUCGUAUCAAAUCCUUUCAUCAUUUUUUAUUUUCGAGCUACAAUUUGUAUUUUGAUAAUAUGACAAAACGUAAGUAUAUAGCAACCAUGAUACAUAUCACUAAACAUAGAUUCCUAACACCAACAUCAUGAAC
This is a long non-coding RNA of Cynara cardunculus var. scolymus (artichoke), 337 nucleotides long. RefSeq lists it as uncharacterized. NCBI's taxonomy places the organism in Eukaryota, Viridiplantae, Streptophyta, Magnoliopsida, Asterales, Asteraceae. The record is from RefSeq and is a predicted model, not a curated record. The transcript has 2 exons.